GACGAAGGAUGCAAGCGUUAUCCGGAUUCAUUGGGUUUAAAGGGUGCGUAGGCGGACUUGUAAGUCAGUGGUGAAAUCUCUUCGCUUAACGAAGAAACUGCCAUUGAUACUGCAGGUCUAGAGUAUAGAUGACGUUGGCGGAAUAUGACAUGUAGUGGUGAAAUACUUAGAUAUGUCAUAGAACACCGAUUGCGAAGGCAGCUAACGAAACUAUAACUGACGCUGAGGCACGAAAGUGCGGGGAUCAAACAGG
Molecule: non-coding RNA, 253 nt
Filed under: uncultured bacterium
Lineage: Bacteria
Also listed under: 2 other names
Description: partial 16S ribosomal RNA
Rfam family: Bacterial small subunit ribosomal RNA
Source: RNAcentral